GAUUAUUGCUGCCUGAGAGCAUUGCUUAAAGAAGUAUAUGUUAUCAUCUCUUAACCUGCUCAGACACCUUGGAACUUAUUCUAUGUCUCAUUUUCACGUACUUGCACUAGAUGUUUUCUUCCAUCCCAAUAUGAAAAAUAGAGAAAGGAAGAAAUAACUGCCCACAAAUGAAGUGCAAAGGUAGACUGAUUUUUUUUUUUUCCCCCUCAUAUAAGUCUUAGUGCUACAGAGCAUAAAGAAAAGGCUGAGGCAGCUCUGUGAAAAAGAAUACAAACAGAACUACUCAGGAGCGGAGAAAUGGUGGAUCUUCAAAAUCCUAUCUCUCCAUGAAACAGCAAGCCCCUCUACAUAGAAGCGUCUUAAUGCUCUAAGGAUGUGAAAGUACUGCUGGGAAGCUGCUGAAGCCAGCAGUCAGAUGAGGCCUGGGCAGAUGGAGGCUGAGCUCUGGGAUCAGCCUGUGUUUCCAACCUGAGCAAUUCUAUGAUUCUAAAUUCAACACAAGGCACUGAGCGUGCUGACUUCCUCAGUAAUUAAAAGGUGUGAGCUGAAGUUACGUUUGCAGCAUGUGGCUAAGCAGCUGAGAAGUCUGCAGAUAUAAACAAGAACUGAGAAGUGUAUUUGUCCCCUGGUGAGAGCUCAGAGCUGCCUGGUACAGAAAUAUCACCUGGGAGGCCCUGCAUAGCACGGAAUAUAUAGAGGAUAUAUUUUUUUUCUGUUCACUGCUAAAGUACAACUACCAAUAUUUAUCUUUUUUCUAUAGGUUUAUAUUCACUGCUCUAAUAUGGCUACAAAUAUCUGUGUCUUUUCUAUGGCUCCAAACAGCUCUAAAUUUAAGCUUUUGGUAACUAUAAGCUCUCCCUCUGGGAUGCAUUCCUUAUGUGGAGCAUGGAGAGGCAGAAGAGGCGAUUCAAGCCAUUGCUAAGCUUCCCCUUGGCUGAAGGCAAUCCACCAGCUGCCCCACCAGCACUACAGGGCUGGCAGUGCCUCCUGCCUGCAGGCUACAGAGAUGCCAACACUGUAAUGUUGAAGGCAUUGGAAAAAAACAGAUGUGCCCCAUAUGGCAGGUUAAUGGAAAAAUGUCACACUGCCAAUGCAAGAUCUGACAGCGUUGGCAUGAAUGAAGAUGUCUGUAAAAACAAGUAG
This is a long non-coding RNA of Numida meleagris (helmeted guineafowl), 1143 nucleotides long. NCBI's taxonomy places the organism in Eukaryota, Metazoa, Chordata, Aves, Galliformes, Numididae. The record is from Ensembl.